AGUCGAACGGCAGCAUGACCUAGCUUGCUAGGUUGAUGGCGAGUGGCGAACGGGUGAGUAAUGCAUCGGAACGUAUCCAAGAGUGGGGGAUAACGCAGCGAAAGUUGUGCUAAUACCGCAUACGCCCUGAGGGGGAAAGUGGGGGACCGUAAGGCCUCACGCUGAUGGAGCGGCCGAUGUCAGAUUAGCUAGUUGGUGGGGUAAAGGCCCACCAAGGCGACGAUCUGUAGCUGGUCUGAGAGGAUGAUCAGCCACACUGGGACUGAGACACGGCCCAGACUCCUACGGGAGGCAGCAGUGGGGAAUUUUGGACAAUGGGGGCAACCCUGAUCCAGCCAUGCCGCGUGAGUGAAGAAGGCCUUCGGGUUGUAAAGCUCUUUCGCGAGGGAAGAAAACUUAUCUAUUAAUACUAGGUGAGGAUGACGGUACCUUGAUAAGAAGCACCGGCUAACUACGUGCCAGCAGCCGCGGUAAUACGUAGGGUGCGAGCGUUAAUCGGAAUUACUGGGCGUAAAGCGUGCGCAGGCGGUUUCGUAAGUCAGAUGUGAAAGCCCCGGGCUUAACCUGGGAACUGCGUUUGAAACUGCGAGGCUAGAGUGUGUCAGAGGGGGGUAGAAUUCCACGUGUAGCAGUGAAAUGCGUAGAGAUGUGGAGGAACACCGAUGGCGAAGGCAGCCCCCUGGGAUAACACUGACGCUCAUGCACGAAAGCGUGGGGAGCAAAACAGGAUUAGA
RNAcentral lists this ribosomal RNA (734 nucleotides) under uncultured bacterium. RNAcentral describes it as "bacterial SSU rRNA". It matches the Rfam family "Bacterial small subunit ribosomal RNA", at positions 60 to 782 of the family's 1533-position model. The record is from RNAcentral.